GUGCUCGAGUGGUGAACGGGUGAGUAACACGUGAGUAACCUGCCCUUGACUUUGGGAUAACUUCAGGAAACUGGGGCUAAUACCGGAUAGGAGCUCCUGCUGCAUGGUGGGGGUUGGAAAGUUUCGGCGGUUGGGGAUGGACUCGCGGCUUAUCAGCUUGUUGGUGGGGUAGUGGCUUACCAAGGCUUUGACGGGUAGCCGGCCUGAGAGGGUGACCGGCCACAUUGGGACUGAGAUACGGCCCAG
This 246-nucleotide ribosomal RNA is filed under the name uncultured Actinomycetales bacterium. RNAcentral describes it as "partial 16S ribosomal RNA". It matches the Rfam family "Bacterial small subunit ribosomal RNA", at positions 87 to 334 of the family's 1533-position model. The record is from RNAcentral. Lineage: Bacteria; Bacillati; Actinomycetota; Actinomycetes; Actinomycetales.